UUAAAUUGAAGAGUUUGAUCAUGGCUCAGAUUGAACGCUGGCGGCAGGCCUAACACAUGCAAGUCGAACGGUAACAGGAAGCAGCUUGCUGCUUCGCUGACGAGUGGCGGACGGGUGAGUAAUGUCUGGGAAACUGCCUGAUGGAGGGGGAUAACUACUGGAAACGGUAGCUAAUACCGCAUAACGUCGCAAGACCAAAGAGGGGGACC
This 209-nucleotide ribosomal RNA is filed under the name Escherichia coli. Its description in RNAcentral is "partial 16S ribosomal RNA". It matches the Rfam family "Bacterial small subunit ribosomal RNA", at positions 1 to 215 of the family's 1533-position model. Lineage: Bacteria; Pseudomonadati; Pseudomonadota; Gammaproteobacteria; Enterobacterales; Enterobacteriaceae. The record is from RNAcentral.